CUACCCUUCCUGAGCUCUAAGCACACUCAGACAAUGAAUAGAAAAGGAAUCUAACAACCUUCAGCCACUUUCAGUAUAAACUAUCCAGCAAAGGAAAGGAGACUUCCAGACUUCUUGUGUGUGGAACAUGUCCUGGCACCAGAAAAUGCAGAGUCUACAAGGAGGAGACACAGCACCAGAUUCCUCCAGGGGCCACACCAGGCACCUCCAACCAGAAAAGGGUUUUUAUUGAGUGGAGAUACACAA
RNAcentral lists this long non-coding RNA (246 nucleotides) under Taeniopygia guttata (zebra finch). RNAcentral's name for it is "lncRNA (ENSTGUG00000020827.1)". Lineage: Eukaryota; Metazoa; Chordata; Aves; Passeriformes; Estrildidae. The record is from RNAcentral.